GCCAGGUAUGGUGGCACAUGCCUGUAAUCCCAGUGCUUGGGAGGCUUAGGCAGGAGGAUCCAGAGUUCAAAGCCAGCCUCAGCAAAAAUGAAGUGUUAACCAACUCAGUGAGACCCUGUCUCUA
This 124-nucleotide small RNA is filed under the name Marmota monax (woodchuck). Lineage: Eukaryota; Metazoa; Chordata; Mammalia; Rodentia; Sciuridae. The record is from RNAcentral.